RNAcentral lists this ribosomal RNA (208 nucleotides) under uncultured Lactobacillus sp. RNAcentral's name for it is "partial 16S ribosomal RNA". It matches the Rfam family "Bacterial small subunit ribosomal RNA", at positions 154 to 355 of the family's 1533-position model. Lineage: Bacteria; Bacillati; Bacillota; Bacilli; Lactobacillales; Lactobacillaceae. The record is from RNAcentral.
GAACGGAUGCUAAUACCGGAUAACAACAGAUGAUGCCUAUCAACUGUUUAAAAGAUGGUUCUGCUAUCACUCUUGGAUGGACCUGCGGUGCAUUAGCUAGUUGGUAGGGUAACGGCCUACCAAGGCGAUGAUGCAUAGCCGAGUUGAGAGACUGAUCGGCCACAUUGGGACUGAGACACGGCCCAAACUCCUACGGGAGGCAGCAGCC